AUUGAACGCUGGCGGCAUGCCUUACACAUGCAAGUCGAACGGCAGCACGGGUGCUUGCACCUGGUGGCGAGUGGCGAACGGGUGAGUAAUAUAUCGGAACGUACCUUAUCGUGGGGGAUAACGCAGCGAAAGCUGCGCUAAUACCGCAUACGCCCUGAGGGGGAAAGCGGGGGACCGUAAGGCCUCGCGCGAUUAGAGCGGCCGAUAUCUGAUUAGCUUGUUGUGGGGUAAAAGCCCACCAAGGCGACGAUCAGUAGCUGGUCUGAGAGGACGAUCAGCCACACUGGGACUGAGACACGGCCCAGGACUCCUACGGGAGGCAGCAGUGGGGAAUUUUGGACAAUGGGGGCAACCCUGAUCCAGCAAUGCCGCGUGAGUGAAGAAGGCCU
This 389-nucleotide ribosomal RNA is filed under the name uncultured bacterium. Its description in RNAcentral is "bacterial SSU rRNA". It matches the Rfam family "Bacterial small subunit ribosomal RNA", at positions 30 to 417 of the family's 1533-position model. The record is from RNAcentral.